GCCCGUCUAGCUCUGUUGGUAGAGCGCAAGGCUCUUAAACUUGUGGUCGUGGGUUCAAAAAUCCCACGGUGGGCG
Cucurbita maxima (winter squash) is the source of this 75-nucleotide non-coding RNA. The record is from the annotation of a RefSeq genome assembly. NCBI's taxonomy places the organism in Eukaryota, Viridiplantae, Streptophyta, Magnoliopsida, Cucurbitales, Cucurbitaceae.